GAAACACGGACCAAGGAGUCUAGCAUGUGCGCGAGUCAUUGGGAUAUAACUAAACCUAAAGGCGAAAUGAAAGUGAAGGUCAGCCUCGCGCUGACCGAGGGAGGAUGGGCCUUCCUACGGGAGGCCCCGCACUCCCGGGGCGUCUCGUUCUCAUCGCGAGAGGAGGCGCACCCAGAGCGUACACGCUGGGACCCGAAAGAUGGUGAACUAUGCCUGGUCAGGACGAAGUCAGGGGAAACCCUGAUGGAGGUCCGUAGCGAUUCUGACGUGCAAAUCGAUCGUCGGAACUGGGUAUAGGGGCGAAAGACUAAUCGAACCAUCUAGUAGCUGGUUCCCUCCGAAGUUUCCCUCAGGAUAGCUGGCGCUCGCCGCGCGCGAGUCUCAUCCGGUAAAGCGAAUGAUUAGAGGCAUUGGGGUCGAAACGGCCUCAACCUAUUCUCAAACUUUAAAUGGGUGAGAUCUCCGGCUUGCUCGAACACGUGAAGCCGCGAGAUUUCGGAUCAGAGUGCCAAGUGGGCCACUUUUGGUAAGCAGAACUGGCGCUGUGGGAUGAACCAAACGCAGAGUUAAAGCGCCCAAAUCGACGCUUAUGGGAUACCAUGAAAGGCGUUGGUAACUUAAGACAGCAGGACGGUGGCCAUGGAAGUCGGAAUCCGCUAG
This 660-nucleotide ribosomal RNA is filed under the name Cyclommatus strigiceps vitalisi. RNAcentral describes it as "partial large subunit ribosomal RNA". It matches the Rfam family "Eukaryotic large subunit ribosomal RNA", at positions 656 to 1274 of the family's 3401-position model. Lineage: Eukaryota; Metazoa; Arthropoda; Insecta; Coleoptera; Lucanidae. The record is from RNAcentral.